GAUCAUGGCUCAGGAUGAACGCUGGCGGCGUGCUUAACACAUGCAAGUCGAACGGGAAAUACUUUAUUGAAACUUCGGUCGAUUUAAUUUAUUUCUAGUGGCGGACGGGUGAGUAACGCGUGGGUAACCUGCCUUAUACUGGGGGAUAACAGCCAGAAAUGGCUGCUAAUACCGCAUAAGCGCACAGAACCGCAUGGUUCGGUGUGAAAAACUCCGGUGGUAUAAGAUGGACCCGCGUUGGAUUAGCUAGUUGG
This 254-nucleotide ribosomal RNA is filed under the name uncultured bacterium. RNAcentral describes it as "partial 16S ribosomal RNA". It matches the Rfam family "Bacterial small subunit ribosomal RNA", at positions 15 to 252 of the family's 1533-position model. The record is from RNAcentral.